RNAcentral lists this ribosomal RNA (492 nucleotides) under uncultured bacterium. Its description in RNAcentral is "partial 16S ribosomal RNA". It matches the Rfam family "Bacterial small subunit ribosomal RNA", at positions 29 to 507 of the family's 1533-position model. The record is from RNAcentral.
AGUGAACGCUGGCGGUAGGCCUAACACAUGCAAGUCGAACGGCAGCACAGUAAGAGCUUGCUCUUACGGGUGGCGAGUGGCGGACGGGUGAGGAAUACAUCGGAAUCUACUUUUUCGUGGGGGAUAACGUAGGGAAACUUACGCUAAUACCGCAUACUACCUACGGGUGAAAGCAGGGGAUCUUCGGACCUUUCGCGAUUGAUUGAGCCGAUGUCGGAUUAGCUAGUUGGCGGGGUAAAGGCCCACCAAGGCGACGAUCCGUAGCUGGUCUGAGAGGAUGAUCAGCCACACUGGAACUGAGACACGGUCCAGACUCCUACGGGAGGCAGCAGUGGGGAAUAUUGGACAAUGGGCGCAAGCCUGAUCCAGCCAUACCGCGUGGGUGAAGAAGGCCUUCGGGUUGUAAAGCCCUUUUGUUGGGAAAGAAAAGCAGCAGGUUAAUACCCCGCUGUUCUGACGGUACCCAAAGAAUAAGCACCGGCUAACUUCGUG